GGGGUUGUGGCUCAGUGGUAGAGCGGUCACCUAACAUGUGUGACACACUGGGUUUGAUCCUCAGCACCACA
Molecule: transfer RNA, 71 nt
Filed under: Marmota monax (woodchuck)
Lineage: Eukaryota; Metazoa; Chordata; Mammalia; Rodentia; Sciuridae
Description: tRNA.Val
Source: RNAcentral